AGAGUUUGAUUCUGGCUCAGAUUGAACGCUGGCGGCAUGGCUAAAACAUGCAAGUCGAACGAGAACCCGCAAGGGGGAAAGUGGCGGAAGGGUGAGUAAAAGUAUCGAAUGUGCCCCGAGGUGGGGGAUAGGCAUGGGAAACUGUGCGUAAUACCUCAUGAUCUCGAGAGAGCAAAGGCGCAAGCCGCCUUGGGAGCAGCGAUAUACCUAUCAGGUAGUUGGCGGGGUAACGGCCCACCAAGCCGAAGACGGGUAGCCGGUAUGAGAGUACGGCCGGCCACAUCGGGACUGAGACACUGCCCGGACUCCUACGGGAGGCUGCAGUAACGAAUAUUCCGCAAUGCACGAAAGUGUGACGGAGCAAUGCCGCGUGCAGGAUGAAGCAACUUCGUUGUGUAAACUGCUGUCAGGAGCUAGAAACCAUGAUCAGCUCCAGAGGAAGGACCGGCUAAUCUCGUGCCAGCAGCCGCGGUAAUACGAGAGGUCCAAGCGUUAGUCGGAAUCACUGGGCUUAAAGGGUGCGUAGGCGGGCUUGUAAGUGUCUUGUGAAAUCCCAUGGCUCAACCAUGGAAUUGCAGGGCAUACUGCGAGCCUUGAGGAAUCUAGAGGCCGGCAGAACGAUAGGUGGAGCGGUGGAAUGCGUAGAUAUCUAUCGGAAUGCCAAAGGUGAAGACAGCCGGCUGGGGAUUUCCUGACGCUGAGGCACGAAAGCGUGGGGAUCAAACAGGAUUAGAUACCCUGGUAGUCCACGCCCUAAACGAUGUGCACUAGACCGAUGCGGCUCUGACGUCGUAUUGGUCGUAGAGAAAUUGAUAAGUGCACCGCCUGGGGAGUACGGUCGCAAGGCUAAAACUCAAAGAAAUUGACGGGGGCUCACACAAGCGGUGGAGCAUGUUGCUUAAUUCGAAACAACGCGAAGAACCUUACCGGGGUUUGAACCGCACGGGACAGCUGUAGAGAUACAGUCUUCCUUCGGGACCCGUGUAGAGGUGCUGCAUGGCUGUCGUCAGCUCGUGUCGUGAGAUGUUGGGUUAAGUCCCGCAACGAGCGCAACCCUUGCCUCCUGUUGCUAACAGGUAAAGCUGAGCACUCUGGAGGAACUGCCGGCGAUAAGCCGGAGGAAGGUGGGGAUGACGUCAAGUCCUCAUGGCCUUUAUGCCCCGGGCUACACACGUGCUACAAUGGCUGGUACAAAGGGUCGCAAAGCCGCGAGGUGGAGCUAAUCCCAGAAAGCCAGUCCCAGCUCGGAUUGCAGUCUGCAACUCGACUGCAUGAAGUUGGAAUCGCUAGUAAUCGCGGAUCAGCACGCCGC
This 1312-nucleotide ribosomal RNA is filed under the name metagenome. Its description in RNAcentral is "bacterial SSU rRNA". It matches the Rfam family "Bacterial small subunit ribosomal RNA", at positions 8 to 1360 of the family's 1533-position model. The record is from RNAcentral.